AGAGUUUGAUCCUGGCUCAGGAUGAACGCUGGCGGCGUGCUUAACACAUGCAAGUCGAACGAACCUUCGGGUUAGUGGCGGACGGGUGAGUAACGCGUGGGAAUCUGCCCUCAGGAGGGGGAUAACGGUUGGAAACGGCCGCUAAUACCCCAUAUGCCGAGAGGUGAAAUGAAUUUCGCCUGAGGAUGAGCCCGCGUCUGAUUAGCUAGUUGGUGAGGUAAUGGCUCACCAAGGCUUCGAUCAGUAGCUGGUCUGAGAGGAUGAUCAGCCACACUGGGACUGAGACACGGCCCAGACUCCUACGGGAGGCAGCAGUGGGGAAUUUUCCGCAAUGGGCGCAAGCCUGACGGAGCAACGCCGCGUGAGGGAUGAAGGCCUCUGGGCUGUAAACCUCUUUUCUCAAGGAAGAAGAUCUGACGGUACUUGAGGAAUAAGCCACGGCUAAUUCCGUGCCAGCAGCCGCGGUAAUACGGGAGUGGCAAGCGUUAUCCGGAAUUAUUGGGCGUAAAGCGUCCGCAGGCGGCCCUACAAGUCUGCUGUUAAAAAGUGGAGCUUAACUCCAUCAUGGCAGUGGAAACUGUUGGGCUUGAGUGUGGUAGGGGCAGAGGGAAUUCCCGGUGUAGCGGUGAAAUGCGUAGAUAUCGGGAAGAACACCAGUGGCGAAGGCGCUCUGCUGGGCCAUAACUGACGCUCAUGGACGAAAGCCAGGGGAGCGAAAGGGAUUAGAUACCCCUGUAGUCCUGGCCGUAAACGAUGAACACUAGGUGUCGGGGGAAUCGACCCCCUCGGUGUCGUAGCCAACGCGUUAAGUGUUCCGCCUGGGGAGUACGCACGCAAGUGUGAAACUCAAAGGAAUUGACGGGGGCCCGCACAAGCGGUGGAGUAUGUGGUUUAAUUCGAUGCAACGCGAAGAACCUUACCAGGGUUUGACAUCCUGCGAAUCUCUUGGAAACGAGAGAGUGCCUUCGGGAACGCAGUGACAGGUGGUGCAUGGCUGUCGUCAGCUCGUGUCGUGAGAUGUUGGGUUAAGUCCCGCAACGAGCGCAACCCACGUCUUUAGUUGCCAGCAUUUAGUUGGGCACUCUAGAGAGACCGCCGGUGAUAAACCGGAGGAAGGUGUGGAUGACGUCAAGUCAUCAUGCCCCUUACAUCCUGGGCUACACACGUACUACAAUGCUACGGACAAAGAGCAGCAAGUUCGCGAGGACAAGCAAAUCUCAUAAACCGUGGCUCAGUUCAGAUCGUAGGCUGCAACUCGCCUACGUGAAGGAGGAAUCGCUAGUAAUCGCAGGUCAGCAUACUGCGGUGAAUACGUUCCCGGGCCUUGUACACACCGCCCGUCACACCAUGGAAGUUGGCCACGCCCGAAGUCGUUACUCCAACCCUUGUGGAGGAGGACGCCGAAGGUGGGGCUGAUGACUGGGGUGAAGUCGUAACAAGGUAGCCGUACCGGAAGGUGCGGCUG
RNAcentral lists this ribosomal RNA (1465 nucleotides) under Prochlorococcus sp. AG-316-G21. RNAcentral describes it as "bacterial SSU rRNA". It matches the Rfam family "Bacterial small subunit ribosomal RNA". Lineage: Bacteria; Bacillati; Cyanobacteriota; Cyanophyceae; Synechococcales; Prochlorococcaceae. The record is from RNAcentral.